Molecule: long non-coding RNA, 408 nt
Organism: Xenopus laevis (African clawed frog)
Lineage: Eukaryota; Metazoa; Chordata; Amphibia; Anura; Pipidae
Exons: 2
Source: RefSeq, a predicted model, not a curated record
GAAGAGUCCAACAUACAAAGAAGUGCUGACACAAGCCACAAGAAAAGGGAUAAAACAAAAAUGCCCCAGGCCUUGCUGGAAGAGAAGAGCGAACAUGUAUAUAAAGGAAUUCAAGAAUAAUUUCACUGCCGUGAACCUGUAUUAUUGUAAAGCAGCAUAUAACCCACCACAGAUACAGGAAUCCUUGUCCUUCAGGUCAAUCAACAGAUAACGGGGGCUCUCCGGAAGCCAUGGAAGAACAAAAAGCUGCAGAAUAGCUGGGAUGGCAUUACUGGCUAAAAGGAAAGGCCAGCAAUCUUCACCGCCAAGGAUCUCACUGGUACAGGAAGAACAGGUUAUAAGAAUAAAAUUGAGAAGCCAUGAAAUUUAAUAUCAAUAAGACAUGCCAAAUAAACCUAGAAACAUUGA